AUAGACGACCAAUGACAUUCUUAGUCUAACUCCUAACUGGCUAGUCUCACUCUAUUGUGCUGUAGAAAUAUUCACAACUCUCCCCUAACCUACAACCUUAAUGCUCGACCUCCAUAAUUCCCUGUCAAGGGCCAUGUCCUUAGUAAUCCUAAGUCGCGCCAUGUCCUGUCUGAUCACCUCUCCCCAAUACUUCUUAGGUCGUCCUCUACCUCUCCGCGUGCCCACUACAGCCAGUCGCUCACACCUCCUCACCGGUGCAUCAGUGCUCCUCCUCUGAAUGUGCCCGAACCAUCUGAGUCUUACUUCCCGCAUCUUGUCCUCCAUGGGGACCACGCCCACCUUCUCUCGAAUAUCUUCAUUCCUAAUUUUAUCCAUCCUUAUCCUAAUCGCAGGGGCGGAUCUAGCAUGUAAUAUACGGGUUCCCGUGAACCCAGUAGUUUUUGUCCAAAUAGUGUAAAUAUGUUCUAAAAAUUCAUUAAAUAUCUACAAAUAUUUAAAUGUGAACCCAGUUACUAUUGAAAAUUUACUCUGAAAUCGUUGCAGGAACCCAUAAACAUUAAAUCCUGGAUCCGCCUUUGCUUGGUCGUACAAGGGAAGCAGAUAUUUGUAGUUGCUAACCAUUGUGGACUUCUCAAACUUGUUGGUCAGACUGGUUUAAUACAAGUCAACUAAGCAUCUAGCAUGGAACUAGAAUUACUGCAACUAGAUAAGCUUAGACGCAACUUAGGCCCCUUUUGAUUUGUGUUCAGAUCUCUGACUUUUCGUUCGCCAUUGAUUCACUUAGAAAAUUUGUCCCCAUCUUUCCACUUUUGUUUCUAAAUUCUAAAUAAAAGUAGUGCUAACACAGAAUUUCACCCAAUCUGUUCACAUUCUAUGGAAUAUUUAUAACUUAUAAGAUAGUCUACAACAAUAACAACGACGACGACGACCCAGUAUAAUCCCACAAGUGGGGUCUGGGGAGGAUAAUAUGUACGCAGACCUUACCCCUACCCCGAAGGGUAGAGAGGCUGUUUCCAGGAGACCCUCGGCUCAAAAAAGCAACAGGAGCCGAUAUAUUAGCACCAUAAAAAUACGUAAUAAAAUAACAGCAAUAUAAGGAUAUGAAAUACAGAAUACGAAAUACGGAAUAGAUGACUGGUAUAGUAAAACUAGCAGGUAAAGCCCUGCAUCAAUAGACGACCAAUGACAUUCUUAGUCUAACUCCUAACUGGCUAGUUUCACUCUAUUGUGCAGUAGAAAUAUUCACAACUUUCCCCUAACCUACAACCUUAAUGUUCGACCUCCAUAAUUCCCUGUCAAGGGCCAUGUCCUCAGUAAUCCUAAGUCGCGCCAUGUCCUGUCUGGUCACCUCUUCCCAAUACUUCUUAGGUCGCCCUCUACCUCUCCGCGUGCCC
Molecule: long non-coding RNA, 1394 nt
Filed under: Nicotiana tabacum (common tobacco)
Lineage: Eukaryota; Viridiplantae; Streptophyta; Magnoliopsida; Solanales; Solanaceae
Description: long non-coding RNA (NTAB_LNC008719)
Source: RNAcentral